GAUGAAGAACGCAGCAAAAUGCGAUGAGUAAUGUGAAUUGCAGAAUUCAGUGAAUCAUCGAAUCUUUGAACGCACAUUGCGCCCGCCAGUAUUCUGGCGGGCAUGCCUGUUCGAGCGUCAUUUCAACCCUCAAGCACAGCUUGGUGUUGGGACUCGCGUUAAUUCGCGUUCCCCAAAUUGAUUGGCGGUCACGUCGAGCUUCCAUAGCGUAGUAGUAAAACCCUCGUUACUGGUAAUCGUCGCGGCCACGCCGUUAAACCCCAACUUCUGAAUGUUGACCUCGGAUCAGGUAGGAAUACCCGCUGAACUUAAGCAUAUCAAUAAGCGGAGGA
RNAcentral lists this unclassified non-coding RNA (332 nucleotides) under soil metagenome. RNAcentral describes it as "partial contains 5.8S ribosomal RNA, internal transcribed spacer 2, and large subunit ribosomal RNA". The stretch from base 1 to 120 matches the Rfam family "5.8S ribosomal RNA", at positions 35 to 154 of the family's 154-position model. The record is from RNAcentral.